GAGGGUAUAGCUCAAGUGGUAGAGCACAUGCUUUAGCAUGUAUGAGGUCCUGGGUUCAAUCCCCAGUACCUCCU
Transfer RNA from Camelus ferus (Wild Bactrian camel), 74 nucleotides. It matches the Rfam family "tRNA". Rfam says of the family: Transfer RNA (tRNA) molecules are approximately 80 nucleotides in length. Their secondary structure includes four short double-helical elements and three loops (D, anti-codon, and T loops). Lineage: Eukaryota; Metazoa; Chordata; Mammalia; Artiodactyla; Camelidae. The record is from Rfam.